ACAGCCACUCCCCAUUGCCUGAAUAGUAUGGGAUCCCGAACAGGGAGUUUGGGUCAAUGAUGACUCCUGAGCUCAAGUGAUCCACCCGCCCCGGCCUCCUUGAAUGAAUAAGAGCCGACUGGAAGAGCUGACAUAGAUCACACUAGCCCCUGGGGUAAGCACUUAAGUGCAUCAAUUCAUUCACUCUUCACAAUAUGUGAGAGGUACAAUUAGUGUCCCAGUUUCCAGGUGAAGAAAACAAGGCAUAAAAUAUAGAACUGCCAGUCCUCAAUGGCUUGCCUCUCUGCUCCAGAGCCACCCUGCUUUGUGACCCUGGAGCUGGCGGCACAUUAGGUCUUGUCAACAGAGGGCACCAGAGGGACGCCGCAGGACCACAGUCUUGGGAAGCCCCUUCCUGUGCAGGAUCUGGUCCUCCAUUGUUCCUGUUCAGUGUGGGAGCUCAGGGGCCACCUUGGCAGAGCUCCAGCUGCAUGCUCAGGCCACAGUGUUCUUACAGGUAGCUGCUUCUGCAGACUAGCUCUGGCCCUCGCCUUCUGGAAAGUCAUUUGCCUGCAGCAGGCUGUGUGCUCUUAAAAAAUAAGACUGAAUCCCUGCCUGGGGGUGGGGGGUGAGGGGACCCUCCUCCUCCCUCCUUCCUUUAGCAUCCCCUCUCCCUCAGCAAGAGGCAGUGGCUGCUUCUGUGCACCUGCUACUUCUGUACCCCUUAGACGCCUCUAUUACCUCUUUUAGUAACUAACCGUCUUCUAAGACUUAACAAUUAUUUACAUUAAAUUUUCCCUGGGUAUAGUAUGAGUAGGGUAAUGUAGUGUAUCAGAUACAGAAUUGGCCAGGGUUGUACCACCACGAA
This 847-nucleotide long non-coding RNA is filed under the name Pan troglodytes (chimpanzee). RNAcentral describes it as "long non-coding RNA NONPTRT002064". Lineage: Eukaryota; Metazoa; Chordata; Mammalia; Primates; Hominidae. The record is from RNAcentral.